Molecule: ribosomal RNA, 406 nt
Filed under: uncultured bacterium
Lineage: Bacteria
Description: partial 16S ribosomal RNA
Rfam family: Bacterial small subunit ribosomal RNA
Source: RNAcentral
AUUGAACGCUGGCGGCAGGCCUAACACAUGCAAGUCGAGCGAGCGGCGGACGGGUGAGUAAUGUCUGGUAAACUGCCUGAUGGCGGGGGAUAACAACUGGAUACCGUAGCUAAUACCGCAUACAAUCAGCUGUUCCCAGACGGGAUUAGCUAGGAGGUGGGGUAAUGGCUCACCUAGGCAACGAUCCCUAGCUGAUCUGAGAAGAUGAUCAGCCAGACUGGAACUGAGACACGGUCCAGACUCCUACGGGAGGCAGCAGUGGGGAAUGUUGGACAAUGGGCGGAAGCCUGAUGCAGCCAUGCCGCGUGUGUGAAGAAGGCCUUCGGGUUGUAAAGCACUUUCAGCGGGGAAGCGUUACCCCCAGAGGAAGCACCGGCUAACUCCGUGCCAGCAGCCGCGGUAAUAC